Molecule: long non-coding RNA, 1858 nt
Organism: Esox lucius (northern pike)
Lineage: Eukaryota; Metazoa; Chordata; Actinopteri; Esociformes; Esocidae
Source: Ensembl
UUGUGUUUGUGGGCAAUCGAAGGCUUUCAAGCACACAAAGCCUGCGUCCGACUCCGGUUGAAGAGUGACUCGUAUGCGUCCUCCUGACCUUUCAUGCCGCUUAAGUGAACGGCAUUGGUUUGCUAUCUGGAAGCUAUUUGGGAUCUAUUAACGUGAGCCGGAUCACAAACACCGCAGGAGGGCCAGAAUCCUGCGCUCGCCAAUCUGACAGGACACACCUCUGUCGUUGCCAGCUCCUACCUGCAAUUAGACCACUUGACCACAGUGAACAGCCGGCCCCUAUCCCCUCUUGGCAUCUUCGUUUGACAAUGAGAGGGCAGAAAGCGGGGAGGUUGGGGGGUGAAUGUAACAGACGUAUGAAGAGGUUAUAUCUGAAGGCUGUGUUUUUCCGUCCGUUGUUCGCCUGCUUAUUUAAUACACCGGGGAGCUGCUUUCAAGGACUACGAAAGGAGAUGUUCAGUUCCGGACGGAGAAAACUUCAGAGACACUGUGGUGCCAUCUGGUCACUUUCAAGAGGCAGUUGUUGAAGAUUUCAGCUCUGGGCUAUGAUGGAGAUGGUCACAUGUUAUAGGCUGUAGCACAAAUGUGCUUUUGAACACUCAAAAACAUGUCCACAGUGAAAAUCUAUCUUGUCUUAUUGUCAACUUUAUAGUAAGGUAACACUUUACAAAGGGUUUGUAAAAGCUAUAUACAUUAAGGGUUAUUUAAUUAUUUGUACAGCAAAUCCUUUAUUAUCCAAGCUGGUUUACAUUGUUUUGUUGUGUCAUUGUUUUCAUCACAAAAAAAACGACUUAUCUUUACUUGCUACAUAAUGGGCAAUAUUAGCGAGUACUAUGCUUGGCAAUAUGUUCCAAGCACAACACUGACAUGUUAUGAUCACAGUCAGGACCUUUAUGGUUCAGGUCUAAAUGUAACCAAAUGUUAUGCAAAUGAAAAGCAAGUCACAUUUUAUUUCUCAGAGCGUAACUUUCUGUGUAAACUGUCCAUGUUAAGAACCAGGACAUGGGUGGUGAGUGACGCGACGUGACCAAGGGUCUCUGCCGGCACAAUGGCGGUUAUAUAUGAUAUUCUUUCACCUUAUACAAUAUUGCUGCUCAAACCAAAACUGAUCAUGACGAGGACACUGUAGUGCGUAUGUGUUACUGUUCACGUCAAACUCUGAAACAGGUGACCUUAACGGAUUUGAAGUGUUUGCAUUCUGCUUUAGCCGAGAGUGUGAUCUCUCAGGUGCUCUUGGAAGUUUGCCCUUGAAAGAACCGAAGAAUGUAGAAUAGAAGCACACAUUUCUAUAAGGCAGCCAUUCAUUUCUCUAAGAUCCUAUCAUACAGCGGGGUUGAACUUCUGUUCAGUUGCCUUACUUCACUGCUGAUAGGACAUUGAAGGAUUUAGAAUUUCCACUAUAACAAAAUUCACUGGAAAAAUAAACCCUACGAGCAAUGGGGAUGACGUGUCUCAUCUAUUGUACAAGACCGUGGAACACAAACAGGACGUCAGCAUGUCUUUUAGAGUACAUGCAUUUCGUGGGUUGGUGCACACUUUAUCCAACACGGACAAUGCAAAAAACAUGUCAGCCCAGCUAGUUGAGAGACAAUGGACUGGCUCAUGUGAAUUGGAGGCAAAAUUAUAUAUUCUCAGUAAAUAAAUAUUUUAACGGUUCCACAUUUGGAAAUUCAAGUGCCAUUUUGUAUAUACCAUAUGCAGCUUUUUCAUGCAUUGUAUACCUACAUUGUACUCUGGAAAUGAAUAGCUUACAGAUCUUUCCUUUGCAAAGACUGAUUAUACCUUUAUACAUUCCCAAUUAAAUCAUACUACGCCAUUUACACUGGGCUACGCUCAAAAGUAGUUUAUGUUACAGUUA